GAGUGCAAUGGUUUUGGUCAUGAGGAGGUUUGAUGACAUAAAAAUUAUGCUCAUAAGUAUUAUGCUGAGGCCC
Cebus imitator (Panamanian white-faced capuchin) is the source of this 73-nucleotide small nucleolar RNA. Its record names the gene SNORD115. It matches the Rfam family "Small nucleolar RNA SNORD115". Rfam says of the family: HBII-52 is a member of the C/D class of snoRNAs, which contain the C (UGAUGA) and D (CUGA) box motifs. The record is from Ensembl. Lineage: Eukaryota; Metazoa; Chordata; Mammalia; Primates; Cebidae.